This 1492-nucleotide ribosomal RNA is filed under the name Staphylococcus aureus. RNAcentral's name for it is "bacterial SSU rRNA". It matches the Rfam family "Bacterial small subunit ribosomal RNA". The record is from RNAcentral. Lineage: Bacteria; Bacillati; Bacillota; Bacilli; Caryophanales; Staphylococcaceae.
GAGCGAACGGACGAGAAGCUUGCUUCUCUGAUGUUAGCGGCGGACGGGUGAGUAACACGUGGAUAACCUACCUAUAAGACUGGGAUAACUUCGGGAAACCGGAGCUAAUACCGGAUAAUAUUUUGAACCGCAUGGUUCAAAAGUGAAAGACGGUCUUGCUGUCACUUAUAGAUGGAUCCGCGCUGCAUUAGCUAGUUGGUAAGGUAACGGCUUACCAAGGCAACGAUGCAUAGCCGACCUGAGAGGGUGAUCGGCCACACUGGAACUGAGACACGGUCCAGACUCCUACGGGAGGCAGCAGUAGGGAAUCUUCCGCAAUGGGCGAAAGCCUGACGGAGCAACGCCGCGUGAGUGAUGAAGGUCUUCGGAUCGUAAAACUCUGUUAUUAGGGAAGAACAUAUGUGUAAGUAACUGUGCACAUCUUGACGGUACCUAAUCAGAAAGCCACGGCUAACUACGUGCCAGCAGCCGCGGUAAUACGUAGGUGGCAAGCGUUAUCCGGAAUUAUUGGGCGUAAAGCGCGCGUAGGCGGUUUUUUAAGUCUGAUGUGAAAGCCCACGGCUCAACCGUGGAGGGUCAUUGGAAACUGGAAAACUUGAGUGCAGAAGAGGAAAGUGGAAUUCCAUGUGUAGCGGUGAAAUGCGCAGAGAUAUGGAGGAACACCAGUGGCGAAGGCGACUUUCUGGUCUGUAACUGACGCUGAUGUGCGAAAGCGUGGGGAUCAAACAGGAUUAGAUACCCUGGUAGUCCACGCCGUAAACGAUGAGUGCUAAGUGUUAGGGGGUUUCCGCCCCUUAGUGCUGCAGCUAACGCAUUAAGCACUCCGCCUGGGGAGUACGACCGCAAGGUUGAAACUCAAAGGAAUUGACGGGGACCCGCACAAGCGGUGGAGCAUGUGGUUUAAUUCGAAGCAACGCGAAGAACCUUACCAAAUCUUGACAUCCUUUGACAACUCUAGAGAUAGAGCCUUCCCCUUCGGGGGACAAAGUGACAGGUGGUGCAUGGUUGUCGUCAGCUCGUGUCGUGAGAUGUUGGGUUAAGUCCCGCAACGAGCGCAACCCUUAAGCUUAGUUGCCAUCAUUAAGUUGGGCACUCUAAGUUGACUGCCGGUGACAAACCGGAGGAAGGUGGGGAUGACGUCAAAUCAUCAUGCCCCUUAUGAUUUGGGCUACACACGUGCUACAAUGGACAAUACAAAGGGCAGCGAAACCGCGAGGUCAAGCAAAUCCCAUAAAGUUGUUCUCAGUUCGGAUUGUAGUCUGCAACUCGACUACAUGAAGCUGGAAUCGCUAGUAAUCGUAGAUCAGCAUGCUACGGUGAAUACGUUCCCGGGUCUUGUACACACCGCCCGUCACACCACGAGAGUUUGUAACACCCGAAGCCGGUGGAGUAACCUUUUAGGAGCUAGCCGUCGAAGGUGGGACAAAUGAUUGGGGUGAAGUCGUAACAAGGUAGCCGUAUCGGAAGGUGCGGCUGGAUCACCUCCUUUCUA